CACCCUUCGACGUAUUUACAUUUUUUCCCAAACGCAGUGUGAAACUUCAUGACAGUGAGAAAAAAACAGGCUGAAAAAAGUUCUUAACUAUUAAAAAUCUUUCUUUUAAUGCCUGGUAUAUAACAUUUGGGUCAUUCUACGUCUCUGCUAUGAAGUUAAAAGGGAUUGAAAGCGGUAUACCGGGGUUAGUAUGCAUCUGCUUUCAGUGUUUAUAUGAAUUAAGACAAAGUAUUCAUAAAUGCUAUCAAUUCGUUAUGUGGGAUUUUUAUGCCAUAUACAAUUCACAAUAUCACCGACUUUUUAUCAUAAAGUGAGGCAGUGUAUUUACAUUUUGAAACUAUGUUUAGCAAACCAUGUAUUGUACUUGCUGUUUGGCUUAGGCAAAAACAGUUUAGUGUAGGUUUUAUCCGCUUAUAUCUCAACGAUUGCACUAUCAUGUUUAAUCUGAAUAUAAAAUCGCUUUUUAUCAAAACAUACAUCUCUGCCGUGAACUAUAGCAUAUAUAUCGUUGAAGAAUCGCUUCACAAUAUUAGACUAUGACACUAAUAUGUUUGUAGAAUUCUAAUUUAAGCUGAAUUUAAAGUUUUUUGACAUAUAUGGCUGUUUUUAUAUAGAAAUUAAGUUAUAUUGAUGACACUGCAUUGUUUCUGAGCACUAAUAUUUACACUCAUAUUAGAGCCAAUAUUAACUUGUUAACACAUUAACUUGCAUUGGGUCAUAAAUGUGCCCUAUUCUAUUAUUUUGUAUUUUUGUUCUGUCAUCAAGAGGAGACCGCUGGUGCUCAAUGGGUAAUCAGGUAUCUGCCCAUGUGUCUGGGCAAGACUCUCAUUGGAGCUAGACAGAAUUAAAUAUAGAUAAGGGACCGCUCAUUAUUUAUUGUACAGGGGGGGAUUGAGGAGAAACUGGGGGGGCCUUCAAAUUUUUCAAAACCUGAAAGGGGGGGCUUUGAAAAAAUACAGAGAGACGAAAGAAGGGGGGCUUUGAAAAUAUUUACCAGUUUGAAAAAACAGUAGUUUUAAAAAUGUAUCACAAAACAACUUAACAACAAAUAACAAUAUUUAUAGACUUUAAUAUUCAUAAAUGGAAGUCAAAUAAAAAGUCUCUCAUGUUCAUGUAAAUAGACAAUUCCCAUUAUAGACUAAUUUUAGAACUAGGCAAAGAGAUGCAAAUCAAGGCCGGAUUUUGGUGAAAAUAGUGGGGGAGGUGGACAAAAAUUUUAGGAGAGGUGCAGCGGUCUAGCUCACAACUCCCAUGGAAAGUUAGGGCUUAUUGUAGAACAGGCCAAUAUCAACGAGGUGAGGUAUGCAUGUAGUGUACAUAAUAUGUACCAGUGUAUUAAUGAAUUAUGAAUGUAUGACUCCAAUCUUGCCCUUCAUUACAAUUGCUACACUGUUUCUUUCAAAACAUUGCAUUAAAAGGGUGCUUGACAUGGCUAUCACUGUUUCAAUUUUACAGAGAAAACUUUCUUACGUCACAAAGUGUAGAUCCUAAGCAACCAUCACAUUUUCACUUUGUUCCAUCAUUGAAACUUUCCCAAGGGGAAGUGCAUGACCUUUCAAGAGAGGUGGAAAAAUUCUCAGGGGAGGUGCAAAACGAUCUCUGGGGAGGUGCGCACCUCUCCACACUUCCCUCAAAAUCCGGCCUUGAUGCAAAUAAAUCACCACAGCUAGAAAGAGCAUACUAAAAUAAGUAAAUUAUUGCAAAGUUUGGUUGCGAAUUGUUGCAAAAUACGGAAAAUAUAGCCUUGCAAAGUUUGCAAAUUUUGUACACUUUUGUAUUGCAUGCGAAAAUUGCAAUUAUACAAAAGAAUACAAAAUUUGCAAACUUUGGAAGGCUAUAUUUUCUACAUAUUUUACAACAUUUUGCAACCAAACUUUGGAAUUUUAGUAAUUUUAGUAUGCCCUUCCCGGGAAUAUACUUUUUUUGCUAAGAUAAAAAAUUAGUCUAUAAUGGGAAUGUCUAUUGGUCCCCAUUACCUAUUUUUCUUUCUCUAAAAUAAACAGCUAGAGUUUUUGUUUCUCUAAAUAAAGAUAAAGAGCUAGAGGGGGGGGGGGCAAAAUUUAUGUUCUUGUUUUGCCUGUUGGGGGGGGGCUUUGAAAAUUUUACUUGUCUUAAGAGGGGGGCAACGAAAAAAUAUUACAACUGUAGAGUUUCUCCUCAGUCCCCCCCUGUACAAUAAAUAAUGAGCGGUCCCUAAAGUAUUGUAGCUUAAUGGGUUAAUGUUAGAUCUUUUAAUACAUAAGACUGGUCAACUGAUGACUCAGCUGAUCAAAUAUCUAGAUACUGCAUCAAUUAGAAUACUUCCUAGAAAAUUUCAAUCUAUGAUUCCAGCUGAGCAAUUUGCAACGAAGCAUGGAUACGGAUGUUGAUCUGCUGUCAGAAGAUCCGAUUACUUGUGGACAGUUGAUUGUUUUAGGGUAAGAUAGUUCUUGACAUAUUCAAGCUUUGUGGCCAGUGGCUGGUGCAUGUGGCUUUCAGGUUUGAUUAGAAUUUUGAUCAAGAGU
Molecule: non-coding RNA, 2504 nt
Organism: Paramuricea clavata
Lineage: Eukaryota; Metazoa; Cnidaria; Anthozoa; Malacalcyonacea; Plexauridae
Source: the annotation of a GenBank genome assembly